UAGCUUUUGGCCAAAUUUCUAUAAGCUUCAGUUUCCAUAUCUUUAGGUGAGAAUAAUGGUACCCACCUUCUAAUUCUAGUGGUGUUGUGAGGAGCAGAGUGCUUGGCCCAGAAUGUGUUAUAAAUUUGGCUACUAUUAAAAUUAGCCUAUAUCACGUUGAGUCCUACUUCGAUCCCUUAGUGCCCAGAGAACUUGAACCUGAUGCUCAUAGGCCUCUCUGGUUUUUUGUUGUUGAGACCCUGUCAAUUGCCAGCUCCAUAAUAGUCAGGAUAUAGGAAUUACUGUCCAAUGGGGAGCAGGAAACAGAUGAGUGGUGAUGAACUGAAAGUGAUGCAGACAUCUGAGCAGAUAGGAGAGCUUUGAGAAUGUUGAAAGAGUUUUGAGGUAAUUUCAGAAUAAGGAAGAGAUGACUAAAGAAAACUUGGUCUUUAUUCAUUGCUCUGCUACUGUAUUGUUGUUUUUCCCAUUCCACUGAUAUUUUCAAACGGAGAAUCACCUUUGGCAGAUGAGGAACUGGCAUAUUGAGAAGAUUUUGGUAAAGUUGGUGAAGGUCAUGGUUUACUGCAGAACUGAAAUCACUUUUCACCUGUAUCUUCCCUACUAAAACUUCUAGGAAUCAUCAGUUCUUGCUUGCCAAGUGAUUCAAGACUACAAGCAAUUCCCUAGUUGAUGUGUUCUUGAAUUAUGUUUGAAAGGGGAAUAUGGACGAGUCAAGCAAUAGAUUUACAUGUGAUUAUAAUAAAUGGCGAAUGAUGACCAGUUUGUAUUUUACCUCUUGAUUAUUAAACUUUGUUUCAUU
This 799-nucleotide long non-coding RNA is filed under the name Marmota monax (woodchuck). Lineage: Eukaryota; Metazoa; Chordata; Mammalia; Rodentia; Sciuridae. The record is from RNAcentral.